Zalophus californianus (California sea lion) is the source of this 362-nucleotide long non-coding RNA. RefSeq lists it as uncharacterized. The record is from RefSeq and is a predicted model, not a curated record. The transcript has 4 exons. Lineage: Eukaryota; Metazoa; Chordata; Mammalia; Carnivora; Otariidae.
GUGACCCUUGCUGUGUCAGCCUUUCUAUGCAUGAUCAGUUUGCUGUGAUCUAUGGAAAACUCCCACCUCAGGAAUUUAAAGCCUGUGGAAUGACUCUGAUGGUGGAAUUUCAAGAAUCAAGGGAGGCAAGUGAAGACGCAACUUCAAAGCAACAGAGGUUUCUUAACACCCUUGGAUGUUUAGGACGAGAAGGUGAAAGGGCUUGAGGAGCACCUCUGUAUACUCCACACGAGAGACUGAAGAGAUGAUGUUGGCCCUUUCCAUUGACUAUCUGUCUGUUGCUGACGCAAUGGCACUGGGUUGCCCACCUUCCCACCAUCUCAGGUGACAACGUGAGCCUACACCACUCUCCGGAUGCACGG